AUUGAACGCUGGCGGCAGGCCUAACACAUGCAAGUCGAACGAGUGGCGGACGGGUGAGUAAUGUCUGGGAAACUGCCUGAUGGAGGGGGAUAACUACUGGAAACGGUAGCUAAUACCGCAUACCAUCAGAUGUGCCCAGAUGGGAUUAGCUAGUAGGUGGGGUAACGGCUCACCAAGUCGACGAUCCCUAGCUGGUCUGAGAGGAUGACCAUGCACACUGGGACUGAGGCACGGUCCAGACGCCUACGAGAGGCAGUAGUGGGGAAUAGUGCACAAUGGGCGAAAGCCUGAGGCAGCCAUGCCGCGUGUAUGAAGAAGGCCUUCGGGUUGUAAAGUACUUUCAGCGGGGAGGCGUUACCCGCAGAAGAAGCACCGGCUAACUCCGUGCCAGCAGCCGCGGUAAUUC
RNAcentral lists this ribosomal RNA (406 nucleotides) under uncultured bacterium. RNAcentral describes it as "partial 16S ribosomal RNA". It matches the Rfam family "Bacterial small subunit ribosomal RNA", at positions 30 to 526 of the family's 1533-position model. The record is from RNAcentral.